AACGAACGCUGGCGGCAUGCCUAACGCAUGCAAGUCGAGCGAGACCUUCGGGUCUAGUGGCGCACGGGUGCGUAACGCGUGGGAACCUGCCCUUAGGUUCGGAAUAACUCCCCGAAAGGGGUGCUAAUACCGGUUAAUGUCUUCGGACCAAAGAUUUAUCGCCUUUGGAUGGGCCCGCGUUGGAUUAGCUAGUUGGUAGGGUAAAAGCCUACCAAGGCGACGAUCCAUAGCUGGUCUGAGAGGAUGCUCAGCCACACUGGGACUGAGACACGGCCCAGACUCCGACGGGGAGGAGCAGUGGGGAAUAUUGUACAAGGGGCGAAAGCCUGAUCCAGCAAUGCCGCGUGAGUGAUGAAGGCCUUAGGGUUGUAAAGCUCUUUUACCCGGGAUGAUAAUGACAGUACCGGGAGAAUAAGCACCGGCUAACUCCGUG
RNAcentral lists this ribosomal RNA (433 nucleotides) under uncultured bacterium. RNAcentral's name for it is "partial 16S ribosomal RNA". It matches the Rfam family "Bacterial small subunit ribosomal RNA", at positions 29 to 507 of the family's 1533-position model. The record is from RNAcentral.